RNAcentral lists this ribosomal RNA (769 nucleotides) under Hahnia clathrata. RNAcentral describes it as "SSU rRNA". It matches the Rfam family "Eukaryotic small subunit ribosomal RNA", at positions 997 to 1793 of the family's 1831-position model. Lineage: Eukaryota; Metazoa; Arthropoda; Arachnida; Araneae; Hahniidae. The record is from RNAcentral.
AAAGUUAGAGGUUCGAAGGCGAUCAGAUACCGCCCUAGUUCUAACCAUAAACGAUGCCAGCCAGCGAUCCGGCUGUGUUCCUCAAAUGACACGCCGGGCAGCUUCCGGGAAACCAAAGCCUUUGGGUUCCGGGGGAAGUAUGGUUGCAAAGCUGAAACUUAAAGGAAUUGACGGAAGGGCACCACCAGGAGUGGAGCAUGCGGCUUAAUUUGACUCAACACGGGGAAACUAACUCGGCCCGGACGCAGGAAGGAUUGACAGAUUAAGAGCUCUUUCUUGAUUCUGCGGGUUGUGGUGCAUGGCCGUUCUUCGAUGGUGGAGCGAUUUGUCUGGUUAAUUCCGAUAACGAUCGAGACUCUAGCCUACUAAAUAGACGCCCCGGUCCUACACGCCGGGCGGUCUUCUUAGAGGGACAAGCGGCGUCUAGCCGCGCGAGACGGAGCAAUAACAGGUCUGUGAUGCCCUUAGAUGUCCGGGGCCGCACGCGCGCUACAUUGAAGGGGUCAGCGUGUGCUUUCCCGGCYUGACAAGGCUGGGUAACCCGUUGAACCUCCUUCGUGCUUGGGAUCGGCGUUUGUAACUGUCCGCCGUGAACGAGGAACUCCUAGUAAGCGCUGAGUCAUCAGCUCGCGUUGAUUAAGUCCCUGCCCUUUGUUCACACCGCCCGUCGCUACUACCGAUGAAUGAUUUAGUGAGGUCUUCAGACUGGCGCCCGAUGUGGUCUCAGGAUCGUGUCGGUGUGCCGGAAAGAUGUCCGAACUUGACCAUU